CCCAAAAGCUCCUUCCCCUAGUAACAAUCCACCCUAUGUUCCUACACCUCCAAAAACACCUUCUCCUUCUUAUAAUCCUCCUAAUGUUCCCACUCCUCCCAAAACACCUUCACCUAUUUACACUCCACCAAAUGUUCCUACUCCUCCAAAAACACCAUCUCCUGCUUAUAGUCCUCCAAAUGCUCCUUCCCCUCAUAACCAACCAAAUGUUCCUACUCCUCCAAAAACACCAUCUCCUGCUUAUAGUCCUCCAAAUGCUCCUUCCCCUCAUAACCAACCUCCCUAUGUUCCUACACCUCCAAAAACACCUUCUCCUUCUUAUAAUCCUCCUAAUGUUCCCACUCCUCCCAAAACACCUUCACCUAUUUACACUCCACCAAAUGUUCCUACUCCUCCAAAAACACCAUCUCCUGCUUAUAGUCCUCCAAAUGCUCCUUCCCCUCAUAACCAACCUCCCUAUGUUCCUACACCUCCAAAAACACCUUCUCCUUCUUAUAAUCCUCCUAAUGUUNNN
This 514-nucleotide long non-coding RNA is filed under the name Glycine max (soybean). RNAcentral describes it as "long non-coding RNA (GMAX_LNC003017)". Lineage: Eukaryota; Viridiplantae; Streptophyta; Magnoliopsida; Fabales; Fabaceae. The record is from RNAcentral.